GCCACAUCGAUUGCUUUCAUAUCACAGUGGAAGUCUUAUCUACUGGAUGCAUCAAGACUGAAUGUAAAGGAUCAAAGUCCGUUGUCUGACUGUAACAGUAUGAAACUACUUCACAUUGAGCUCUGCUGGAGCCAUUCAGACUCGGGGGGCAGCCGCCCACUCCCAUAAUGCUUUGUGCCAGGCGAGAUAAGAGCAGCCCCACACAGCUCCAACUGCCUGGUUCCAGACAAUGGACUUCCAACAAAGCAACACAGGUACUUGGUUUUAGGUCAAUACCAUACAAACAAUGUUCUAACUUAAGCUUGCUAAAGAAAAUCUGCACUCUACUGGAACAGGCUGUAACACGAAAUGCAUUUGCUGCUGUAAAUCUAAA
This is a long non-coding RNA of Pimephales promelas (fathead minnow), 373 nucleotides long. RefSeq lists it as uncharacterized. NCBI's taxonomy places the organism in Eukaryota, Metazoa, Chordata, Actinopteri, Cypriniformes, Leuciscidae. The record is from RefSeq and is a predicted model, not a curated record.